AGCGAACGCUGGCGGCAGGCCUAACACAUGCAAGUCGAACUAACUCUUCGGAGUUAGUGGCGGACGGGUGAGUAACACGUGGGAACGUGCCUUUAGGUUCGGAAUAACUCAGGGAAACUUGUGCUAAUACCGAAUGUGCCCUUCGGGGGAAAGAUUUAUCGCCUUUAGAGCGGCCCGCGUCUGAUUAGCUAGUUGGUGAGGUAAAGGCUCACCAAGGCGACGAUCAGUAGCUGGUCUGAGAGGAUGAUCAGCCACAUUGGGACUGAGACACGGCCCAAACUCCUACGGGAGGCAGCAGUGGGGAAUCUUGCGCAAUGGGCGAAAGCCUGACGCAGCCAUGCCGCGUGAAUGAUGAAGGUCUUAGGAUUGUAAAAUUCUUUCACCGGGGACGAUAAUGACGGUACCCGGAGAAGAAGCCCCGGCUAACUUCGUG
This 433-nucleotide ribosomal RNA is filed under the name uncultured bacterium. RNAcentral's name for it is "partial 16S ribosomal RNA". It matches the Rfam family "Bacterial small subunit ribosomal RNA", at positions 29 to 507 of the family's 1533-position model. The record is from RNAcentral.